GAUGAACGCUGGCGGCGUGCCUAAUACAUGCAAGUCGAGCGAACAGAUGAGGAGCUUGCUCCUCUGACGUUAGCGGCGGACGGGUGAGUAACACGUGGAUAACCUACCUAUAAGACUGGGAUAACUUCGGGAAACCUGAGCUAAUACCGGAUAAUAUAUUGAACCGCAUGGUUCAAUAGUGAAAGACGGUUUUGCUGUCACUUAUAGAUGGAUCCGCGCCGCAUUAGCUAGUUGGUAAGGUAACGGCUUACCAAGGCAACGAUGCGUAGCCGACCUGAGAGGGUGAUCGGCCACACUGGAACUGAGACACGGUCCAGACUCCUACGGGAGGCAGCAGUAGGGAAUCUUCCGCAAUGGGCGAAAGCCUGACGGAGCAACGCCGCGUGAGUGAUGAAGGUCUUCGGAUCGUAAAACUCUGUUAUUAGGGAAGAACAAAUGUGUAAGUAACUAUGCACGUCUUGACGGUACCUAAUCAGAAAGCCACGGCUAACUACGUG
This 497-nucleotide ribosomal RNA is filed under the name uncultured bacterium. RNAcentral describes it as "partial 16S ribosomal RNA". It matches the Rfam family "Bacterial small subunit ribosomal RNA", at positions 28 to 507 of the family's 1533-position model. The record is from RNAcentral.